CGUACAGGUAGCCGUAGAUGCCCGGGUGCAUCACGCGAGCCGUACUGCCCUUUGGUUCGAAAUAACAGUUGGGGAGACUGUAAUUACCGGAUGAUGGCGUUAAGUCCAAAGAUUUAUCGCCCGAGGAUGAGCCCGCGUAGGAUUAGCUUGUUGGUGUGGUAAAGGCGCACCAAGGCGACUAUCCUUAGCUGGUCUGAAAGGAUGAUCAGCCACACUGGGACUGACACAGGCCCAGACUCCUACGGGAGGCAGGGUGGGGAAUAUUGGACAAUGGGCGAAAGCCUGAUCCAGCAAUGCCGCGUGAGUGAUGAAGGCCCUAGGGUUGUAAAGCUCUUUUACCCGGGAUGAUAGUGACAGUACCGGGAGAAUAAGCCCCGGCUAACUCCGUGCCAGCAGCCGCGGWAAUACGGAGGGGGCUAGCGUUGUUCGGAAUUACUGGGCGUAAARCGCACGUAGGCGGCUUUGUAAGUUAGAGGUGAAAGCCUGGAGCUCAACUCCUGAAUUGCCUUUAAGACUGCAUCGCUUGAAUCCWGGAGAGGUGAGUGGAAUUCCGAGUGUAGAGGUGAAAUUCGUAGAUAUUCGAAKAACACCAGUGGSGAAGGMGGCUCACUGKACUGUAUUGACGCUGAGGUGCGAAAGCGUGGGRACASAACAGGAKUAGAUACCCCGGUAGUCCACGCCGUAAACGAUGAUAACUAGUUGUCCGGGGACUUGUCUUUGGGUGGCGCAGCUAACGCAUUAAGUUAUCCKCCUGGGGAGUACGGCCGCAAGUUAAAACUCAAUGAAUUGACGGGGGCCUGCACAACGUGGAGCAUGUGGUUUAAUUCGAAGCAACGCGCAGAACUUACCAGCGUUUGACAUGUCCGGACGAUUUCCAGAGAUGGAUCUCUUCCCUUUGGGGACUGGAACACAGGUGGUGCAUGGCUGUUGUCAGGUUGGGUUGUGAGAUGUUGGGUUAAGUCCCGCAACGAGGGCAACCCUCGCCUUUAGUUACCAUCAUUCAGUUGGGUCCUUUAAAGGAACCGCCGGUGAUAAACCGGAGGAAGGUGGGGAUGACGUCAAGUCCUCAUGGCCCUUACGCGCUGGGCUACACACGUGCUACAAUGGCGGUGACAGUGGGCAGCAAUCCCGCGAGGGUGAGCUAAUCUCCAAAAGCCCUUUCAGUUUGGAUUGUUUUGGGCAAAUCUAGAGCAUGAAGGCUGAAUAGCUAGUAAUCGCGGAUCAGCACGCCGCUGUGAAUAUGUUUCCCGGCCCUGUGCACACCGCCCCUCUCACCAUGGGAGUUGGGUCCCAACUCUAGAGUUUGAUCCUGCU
This 1314-nucleotide ribosomal RNA is filed under the name Sphingomonas sp. Cip21. RNAcentral's name for it is "bacterial SSU rRNA". It matches the Rfam family "Bacterial small subunit ribosomal RNA", at positions 81 to 1440 of the family's 1533-position model. The record is from RNAcentral. Lineage: Bacteria; Pseudomonadati; Pseudomonadota; Alphaproteobacteria; Sphingomonadales; Sphingomonadaceae.